This 515-nucleotide ribosomal RNA is filed under the name uncultured Diversispora. RNAcentral's name for it is "SSU rRNA". It matches the Rfam family "Eukaryotic small subunit ribosomal RNA", at positions 569 to 1083 of the family's 1831-position model. The record is from RNAcentral. Lineage: Eukaryota; Fungi; Glomeromycota; Glomeromycetes; Diversisporales; Diversisporaceae.
AGCAGCCGCGGUAAUUCCAGCUCCAAUAGCGUAUAUUAAAGUUGUUGCAGUUAAAAAGCUCGUAGUUGAACUUCGGGGUCUACCCAUUGGUCAGGCUUAUGUCUGCACUGGUGAGAUGGAUCUCUACCUUCUGAGGAACUUUCAUGCCAUUUAUUUGGUGUGGUUGGAAAUCAGGACUGUUACUUUGAAAAAAUUAGAGUGUUUAAAGCAGACUAUCGUCUGAAUACAUUAGCAUGGAAUAAUGAAAUAGGACGGACUGAUUCUAUUUCGUUGGUUUCUAGGAUCACCGUAAUGAUUAAUAGGGAUAGUUGGGGGCAUUAGUAUUCAAUUGUCAGAGGUGAAAUUCUUGGAUUUAUUGAAGACUAAACUACUGCGAAAAGCAUUUGCCGAGGAUGUUUUCAUUAAUCAAGAACGAAAGUUAGGGGAUCGAAGACGAUCAGAUACCGUCUAGUCUUAACCAUAAACUAUGCCGACUAGGGAUCGGACGAAGUUAAUUUUAUUAAUGACGCGUUCGG